This 253-nucleotide ribosomal RNA is filed under the name uncultured bacterium. Its description in RNAcentral is "partial 16S ribosomal RNA". It matches the Rfam family "Bacterial small subunit ribosomal RNA", at positions 524 to 776 of the family's 1533-position model. The record is from RNAcentral.
UACAGAGGGGGCAAGCGUUAUUCGGAAUUAUUGGGCGUAAAGGGCGCGUAGGCGGCCUGGCAAGUGGAAGGUGAAAUCCCUCGGCUUAACCGAGGAACUGCCCUCCAAACUGCCUGGCUUGAGUCCGGGAGAGGUGAGUGGAAUUCCCAGUGUAGCGGUGAAAUGCGUAGAUAUUGGGAGGAACACCAGUGGCGAAGGCGGCUCACUGGACCGGAACUGACGCUGAGGCGCGAAAGCGUGGGGAGCAAACGGG